This 83-nucleotide microRNA precursor is filed under the name Pan troglodytes (chimpanzee). RNAcentral describes it as "mir-3622 microRNA precursor family". It matches the Rfam family "mir-3622 microRNA precursor family". The record is from Rfam by way of RNAcentral. Lineage: Eukaryota; Metazoa; Chordata; Mammalia; Primates; Hominidae.
AAUAGAGGGUGCACAGUCACGGUUGCUCAGGUGAGGCAGGGAACCGAGCUCACCUGAGCUCCCGUGCCUGUGCACCCUCUAUU